This 2256-nucleotide ribosomal RNA is filed under the name Klebsiella pneumoniae. Its description in RNAcentral is "partial 23S ribosomal RNA". It matches the Rfam family "Bacterial large subunit ribosomal RNA". Lineage: Bacteria; Pseudomonadati; Pseudomonadota; Gammaproteobacteria; Enterobacterales; Enterobacteriaceae. The record is from RNAcentral.
CACUAUCGUUAACUGAAUACAUAGGUUAACGAGGCGAACCGGGGGAACUGAAACAUCUAAGUACCCCGAGGAAAAGAAAUCAACCGAGAUUCCCCCAGUAGCGGCGAGCGAACGGGGAGCAGCCCAGAGUCUGAAUCAGCUUGUGUGUUAGUGGAACGGUCUGGAAAGUCCGACGGUACAGGGUGAUAGUCCCGUACACCAAAAUGCACAGGUUGUGAACUCGAAGAGUAGGGCGGGACACGUGGUAUCCUGUCUGAAUAUGGGGGGACCAUCCUCCAAGGCUAAAUACUCCUGACUGACCGAUAGUGAACCAGUACCGUGAGGGAAAGGCGAAAAGAACCCCGGCGAGGGGAGUGAAAAAGAACCUGAAACCGUGUACGUACAAGCAGUGGGAGCACCUUCGGGUGUGACUGCGUACCUUUUGUAUAAUGGGUCAGCGACUUAUAUUCUGUAGCAAGGUUAACCGUAUAGGGGAGCCGCAGGGAAACCGAGUCUUAACUGGGCGUUAAGUUGCAGGGUAUAGACCCGAAACCCGGUGAUCUAGCCAUGGGCAGGUUGAAGGUUGGGUAACACUAACUGGAGGACCGAACCGACUAAUGUUGAAAAAUUAGCGGAUGACUUGUGGCUGGGGGUGAAAGGCCAAUCAAACCGGGAGAUAGCUGGUUCUCCCCGAAAGCUAUUUAGGUAGCGCCUCGUGAAUUCAUCUUCGGGGGUAGAGCACUGUUUCGGCUAGGGGGUCAUCCCGACUUACCAACCCGAUGCAAACUACGAAUACCGAAGAAUGUUAUCACGGGAGACACACGGCGGGUGCUAACGUCCGUCGUGAAGAGGGAAACAACCCAGACCGCCAGCUAAGGUCCCAAAGUCAUGGUUAAGUGGGAAACGAUGUGGGAAGGCACAGACAGCCAGGAUGUUGGCUUAGAAGCAGCCAUCAUUUAAAGAAAGCGUAAUAGCUCACUGGUCGAGUCGGCCUGCGCGGAAGAUGUAACGGGGCUAAACCAUGCACCGAAGCUGCGGCAGCGACACUAUGUGUUGUUGGGUAGGGGAGCGUUCUGUAAGCCUGCGAAGGUGANNNNNNNNNNNNNNNNNNNNNNNNNNNNNNNNNNNNNNNNNNNNNNNNNNNNNNNNNNNNNNNNNNNNNNNNNNNNNNNNNNNNNNNNNNNNNNNNNNGUGGAGCUGAGACCAGUCGAAGAUACCAGCUGGCUGCAACUGUUUAUUAAAAACACAGCACUGUGCAAACACGAAAGUGGACGUAUACGGUGUGACGCCUGCCCGGUGCCGGAAGGUUAAUUGAUGGGGUUAUCCGUAAGGAGAAGCUCUUGAUCGAAGCCCCGGUAAACGGCGGCCGUAACUAUAACGGUCCUAAGGUAGCGAAAUUCCUUGUCGGGUAAGUUCCGACCUGCACGAAUGGCGUAAUGAUGGCCAGGCUGUCUCCACCCGAGACUCAGUGAAAUUGAACUCGCUGUGAAGAUGCAGUGUACCCGCGGCAAGACGGAAAGACCCCGUGAACCUUUACUAUAGCUUGACACUGAACAUUGAGCCUUGAUGUGUAGGAUAGGUGGGAGGCUUUGAAGCGUGGACGCCAGUCUGCGUGGAGCCAACCUUGAAAUACCACCCUUUAAUGUUUGAUGUUCUAACGUUGGCCCCUGACCGGGGUUGCGGACAGUGUCUGGUGGGUAGUUUGACUGGGGCGGUCUCCUCCCAAAGCGUAACGGAGGAGCACGAAGGUUAGCUAAUCCUGGUCGGACAUCAGGAGGUUAGUGCAAUGGCAUAAGCUAGCUUGACUGCGAGCGUGACGGCGCGAGCAGGUGCGAAAGCAGGUCAUAGUGAUCCGGUGGUUCUGAAUGGAAGGGCCAUCGCUCAACGGAUAAAAGGUACUCCGGGGAUAACAGGCUGAUACCGCCCAAGAGUUCAUAUCGACGGCGGUGUUUGGCACCUCGAUGUCGGCUCAUCACAUCCUGGGGCUGAAGUAGGUCCCAAGGGUAUGGCUGUUCGCCAUUUAAAGUGGUACGCGAGCUGGGUUUAGAACGUCGUGAGACAGUUCGGUCCCUAUCUGCCGUGGGCGCUGGAGAAUUGAGGGGGGCUGCUCCUAGUACGAGAGGACCGGAGUGGACGCAUCACUGGUGUUCGGGUUGUCAUGCCAAUGGCACUGCCCGGUAGCUAAAUGCGGAAGAGAUAAGUGCUGAAAGCAUCUAAGCACGAAACUUGCCCCGAGAUGAGUUCUCCCUGAGACUUUAAGUCUCCUGAAGGAACGUU